GGUUCCUUAGAUCGUACAUGCUACAUGGAUAACUGUAGUAAUUCUAGAGCUAAUACAUGCCACUAUGCCCUGACCCGAAAGGGAACGGGUGGAUUUAUUAGAACAGAACCAACCGGGAGCGGCUUCGGUCGUUCCUGUUGAACUCUGUGAUGACUCUGGAUAACUUUACUGAUCGCAGUCGGCCUUGUGUCGGCGACGGAUCUUUCAAAUGUCUGCCCUAUCAACUUUCGAUGGUAGGUGAUCUGCCUACCAUGGUGAUAACGGGUAACGGGGAAUCAGGGUUCGAUUCCGGAGAGGGAGCCUGAGAAACGGCUACCACAUCCAAGGAAGGCAGCAGGCGCGAAAAUUACCCACUCCCGGCACGGGGAGGUAGUGACGAAAAAUACGAAUACGGGACUCACUCGAGGCUCCGUAAUUCGAAUGAGUACAAUCUAAAUCCUUUAACGAGGACCAAUUGGAGGGCAAGUCUGGUGCCAGCAGCCGCGGUAACUCCAGCUCCAAAAGCGUAUAUUAAAGUUGCUGCAGUUAAAAAGCUCGUAGUUGGAUCUGGGUCGCGCGUUCACGUGUCGUUGCGUGGUUCUGGCUUCUGUCAGUCCUAUGUGAUGAUGAGGUGGGCGUGCAGCCUUUCAGCCGUGUCUGCGUGAGCAGGUGUUGGCUGGUCGGUGGGUUCGCUCGCUGGCUAGUUGGCAUGUUUC
This 695-nucleotide ribosomal RNA is filed under the name Strigea sphaerula. RNAcentral's name for it is "SSU rRNA". It matches the Rfam family "Eukaryotic small subunit ribosomal RNA", at positions 114 to 754 of the family's 1831-position model. The record is from RNAcentral. Lineage: Eukaryota; Metazoa; Platyhelminthes; Trematoda; Diplostomida; Strigeidae.